RNAcentral lists this ribosomal RNA (443 nucleotides) under uncultured bacterium. RNAcentral's name for it is "partial 16S ribosomal RNA". It matches the Rfam family "Bacterial small subunit ribosomal RNA", at positions 338 to 795 of the family's 1533-position model. The record is from RNAcentral.
CCUACGGGUGGCAGCAGUGGGGAAUAUUGGGCAAUGGACGCAAGCCUGACCCAGCAACGCCGCGUGAAGGAAGACGGCUCUCUGGUUGUUAACCUCUUUUCUCAGGGACGAAACAAGUGACGGUACCUGUGGGAUAAGCCACCGCUAACUACAUGCCAGCAGCCGCGGUAAUACGUAGGUGGCAAGCGUUAUCCGGAUUGACUGGUUGUAAAGGUUGUGUAGGCGGGACUGUAAGUCAGAUGUGAAAACUACGGGCUUAACCUGUGGCCUGCAUCUGAAACUGUAGUUCUUGAGUACUGGUGAGGCAGACGGAAUGUCUAGUGUAGCGGUGAAAUGCGUAGAUAUUAUGAAGAACACCGGUGGCGAAGGCGGCCUGCCGGACAACAACUGACGCUGAGGCGCGAAAGCGUGGGGAGCAAACAGGAUUAGAUACCCCAGUAGUC